UACAGAGGGGGCAAGCGUUGUUCGGAAUUACUGGGCGUAAAGGGCGCGUAGGCGGCCGCCUAAGUCAGACGUGAAAUCCCUCGGCUUAACCGGGGAACUGCAUCUGAUACUGGAUGGCUUGAGUUCGGGAGAGGGAUGCGGAAUUCCCGGUGUAGCGGUGAAAUGCGCAGAUAUCGGGAGGAACACCUAUGGCGAAGGCAGCUCGCUGGGACGUUACUGACGCUGAGACGCGAAAGCGUGGGGAGCAAACAGG
RNAcentral lists this ribosomal RNA (253 nucleotides) under uncultured bacterium. Its description in RNAcentral is "partial 16S ribosomal RNA". It matches the Rfam family "Bacterial small subunit ribosomal RNA", at positions 524 to 776 of the family's 1533-position model. The record is from RNAcentral.